CCUCCCUCGCCUAGCGCCUCGCCUGGCACCUUGGAGCACCUUCAAUAACACUGCUUUUUGGGUACAAAAGAAAAAGCAUUAAAGCUUGAUCGUGCCAUCUCUAACCAAAACAUCACCCCACAUCCACCUAAGCUAGGCCCUAGCUAACACCUGACAAUUUUGAUAAAACUUAAAGCAAUAACUAAAUCCUUUCCAGGCUCUCAAAAACAAAAGCUCCAUUGCUCCAAUGGAGCUUCACCACACUUUUGUCAAAUCUCGCAAACUGUUAAAGUACAAUCAAUCAAAUAACAGAAACUGGAGUAGCAAAUUGGUAACCCACUAAAGGUUCAUCCAAACAAGUUCACCUGCACGGUAUAACAGACUAUUCUUGAUCAUAUACCUGGCUAUGUAGCCCACUGUCAGUGACAUUUAUCAAUUGCAAAACACGAGCUGAAAGU
RNAcentral lists this unclassified non-coding RNA (437 nucleotides) under Hevea brasiliensis (rubber tree). The record is from RNAcentral. Lineage: Eukaryota; Viridiplantae; Streptophyta; Magnoliopsida; Malpighiales; Euphorbiaceae.